RNAcentral lists this ribosomal RNA (467 nucleotides) under uncultured bacterium. Its description in RNAcentral is "partial 16S ribosomal RNA". It matches the Rfam family "Bacterial small subunit ribosomal RNA", at positions 28 to 506 of the family's 1533-position model. The record is from RNAcentral.
GAUGAACGCUGGCGGCGUGCUUAACACAUGCAAGUCGAACGGUGAAGGCGGAGCUUGCUCUGCUGGAUCAGUGGCGAACGGGUGAGUAACACGUGAGCAAUCUGCCCCUGACUCUGGGAUAAGCGCUGGAAACGGCGUCUAAUACUGGAUACGAGCUGCGAAGGCAUCUUCAGCAGCUGGAAAGAAUUUCGGUCAGGGAUGAGCUCGCGGCCUAUCAGCUUGUUGGUGAGGUAAUGGCUCACCAAGGCGUCGACGGGUAGCCGGCCUGAGAGGGUGACCGGCCACACUGGGACUGAGACGCGGCCCAGACUCCUACGGGAGGCAGCAGUGGGGAAUAUGGCACAAUGGGCGAAAGCCUGAUGCAGCAACGCCGCGUGAGGGACGACGGCCCUCGGGUUGUAAACCUCUUUUAGCAGGGAAGAAGCGAAAGUGACGGUACCUGCAGAAAAAGCGCCGGCUAACUACGG